Molecule: long non-coding RNA, 106 nt
Organism: Nematostella vectensis (starlet sea anemone)
Lineage: Eukaryota; Metazoa; Cnidaria; Anthozoa; Actiniaria; Edwardsiidae
Exons: 2
Source: RefSeq, a predicted model, not a curated record
GAAAUCUUCUAGCUCACGCUGCACAUGAUGCCGUGUAACACGAGAUCUCAGGAAAGACAUGACAUAUUUGGUAUAGCGAAAAGAGAUUCUGGGAGAGCUGUGCAAA